This is a long non-coding RNA of Zea mays, 585 nucleotides long. RefSeq lists it as uncharacterized. The transcript is spliced from 2 exons. The record is from RefSeq and is a predicted model, not a curated record. NCBI's taxonomy places the organism in Eukaryota, Viridiplantae, Streptophyta, Magnoliopsida, Poales, Poaceae.
AUAGCCCAAAAUUUUAGUAGAGAGUUUGGCCCAAAUGAAACCCUAAGGUCUCCAGCGGCUGCGGUUGCCUCCCUGCUCGUGCGUCCCGUACUCCAUCCGCUCGUCACUAGUCUGCGCCCAGCCAGUCGACCAGGCGUCCAGUCCAGCCGUCCAACGGUCUAGCCGUCCGCUCGUGCUCGUCCAUGCCCAGCUAGAGCCAGUUUUCUCCCCGUCCGGCCGUUUGUCCAGCAGCCGUGUCUAGAGGCUAGAGGCCCGAGCAGCAGAGCCUCCCCGUCCGGCCGUCAGGCCGUGCGUGACGUGCGUGAGUUGCGUCCAGCAGUUCCAGCACUGUCUCCACUCUCCAGCCAGCUAGCCAGGCGUCCAGCAAGCUAGUCGCUAGCCCGCUAGCCAAUCCUAGACUCCUAGUUACUGUCAAGAACAGGUACCGCAAGAUGAGGCGCAUGAAGGAUGCUAUGAUGAGUUCGUGAGUGGUCUAGACCGUCGUCUCCCAGUCAACUAUGGUUGCUGGAUCGUUGUCUUCGUAUGAUGUAAUUAUUUAAAUAUUUUUUGUACAGAACUCCGUUAUAUAUUAAUGAUGUGACAUUC